Molecule: ribosomal RNA, 301 nt
Filed under: uncultured bacterium
Lineage: Bacteria
Description: partial 16S ribosomal RNA
Rfam family: Bacterial small subunit ribosomal RNA
Source: RNAcentral
CAGUAGCCGCGGUAAUACGAAGGGGGCUAGCGUUGCUCGGAAUGACUGGGCGUAAAGGGCGCGUAGGCGGCGGCCAAAGUCAGGCGUGAAAUUCCCGGGCUCAACCUGGGGGCUGCGUUUGAUACUUGGUUGCUUGAGUGGGGAAGAGGGUCGUGGAAUUCCCAGUGUAGAGGUGAAAUUCAUAGAUAUUGGGAAGAACACCGGUGGCGAAGGCGGCGACCUGGUCCUUUACUGACGCUGAGGCGCGAAAGCGUGGGGAGCAAACAGGAUUAGAUACCCCUGUAGUCCCUGUCUCUUAUAU